This 74-nucleotide transfer RNA is filed under the name Rhizobium sp. Leaf371. It matches the Rfam family "tRNA". From Rfam's summary of the family: Transfer RNA (tRNA) molecules are approximately 80 nucleotides in length. Their secondary structure includes four short double-helical elements and three loops (D, anti-codon, and T loops). Further hydrogen bonds mediate the characteristic L-shaped molecular structure. tRNAs have two regions of fundamental functional importance: the anti-codon, which is responsible for specific mRNA codon recognition, and the 3' end, to which the tRNAs corresponding amino acid is attached (by aminoacyl-tRNA synthetases). tRNAs cope with the degeneracy of the genetic code in two manners: having more than one tRNA (with a specific anti-codon) for a particular amino acid; and 'wobble' base-pairing, i.e. permitting non-standard base-pairing at the 3rd anti-codon position. RNAcentral also lists the same sequence under 9 other names. The record is from Rfam by way of RNAcentral. Lineage: Bacteria; Pseudomonadati; Pseudomonadota; Alphaproteobacteria; Hyphomicrobiales; Rhizobiaceae.
CGGAGUGUAGCGCAGCCUGGUAGCGCACCACGUUCGGGACGUGGGGGUCGCAGGUUCAAAUCCUGCCACUCCGA